Molecule: ribosomal RNA, 512 nt
Filed under: Thrybius praedator
Lineage: Eukaryota; Metazoa; Arthropoda; Insecta; Hymenoptera; Ichneumonidae
Description: partial 16S large subunit ribosomal RNA
Rfam family: Archaeal large subunit ribosomal RNA (bases 383-512)
Source: RNAcentral
UCUUUAAGAUUAUAAUUUAAAGUCUGAUCUGCUCAAUGAUUUAUUAAAUAGCUGCAGAAUUUUAACUGUACAAAGGUAGCAUAAUCAAUAGUUUUUUAAUUGAAAGCUGGAAUGAAAGAUUUGAUAAGAUAAUUAUUGUCUCAAUUUUAAUAAGAUUAGAAUUUUUUUUUUAGUAAAAAUACUAAAAAAAAUUUAAAAGACGAGAAGACCCUAUAGAUUUUUAUAUUUUAAAGUUUAAUAAAUUAAAAUUAAAAAAAAAAUGUUAGAAUUUAAAAUAUUUGGUUGGGGUAAUUAUUAAAUUAGGAAAAUUUUAAUUAUAAUAAAACAAAAAUUAUUGAAUUUUUGAUCUUAUUUAUAAAUUAAUAGAAUAAAAUACCUUAGGGAUAACAGCGUAAUUUUUUUAGAGAGACCUUAUUAAUAAAAGAGUUUGCGACCUCGAUGUUGAAUUAAGAAAAAAUUUUAAUGAAGAAGUUAAAAAUUUUUGGUCKGUUCGACCAUUAAAAUCUUACGUG